This 66-nucleotide transfer RNA is filed under the name Pseudoglomeris magnifica. Its description in RNAcentral is "tRNA-Ser". It matches the Rfam family "tRNA". Rfam says of the family: Transfer RNA (tRNA) molecules are approximately 80 nucleotides in length. Their secondary structure includes four short double-helical elements and three loops (D, anti-codon, and T loops). The record is from RNAcentral. Lineage: Eukaryota; Metazoa; Arthropoda; Insecta; Blattodea; Blaberidae.
AGUUAAAUUAAAGAUAAAAUAUGUUUUGAAAACAUAAACUUAGGGGUUAAAUUCCCCUUUUAACUU